RNAcentral lists this ribosomal RNA (467 nucleotides) under uncultured bacterium. RNAcentral's name for it is "partial 16S ribosomal RNA". It matches the Rfam family "Bacterial small subunit ribosomal RNA", at positions 28 to 507 of the family's 1533-position model. The record is from RNAcentral.
GAUGAACGCUGGCGGCGCGCCUAACACAUGCAAGUCGAACGAUUAAAGCACCUUCGGGUGUGUAUAAAGUGGCGAACGGCUGAGUAACACGUGGGCAACCUGCCCCUCUCAUUGGGAUAGCCACGGGAAACCGUGGAUAAUACCGAAUACUUCGGGACUUCCGCAUGGAAGACUCGAGAAAGCUCCGGCGGAGAGGGAUGGGCCCGCGGCCUGUUAGCUUGUUGGUGGGGUAAUGGCCUACCAAGGCAUUGAUGGGUAGCUGGGUUGAGAGACCGACCAGCCAGAUUGGGACUGAGACACGGCCCAGACUCCUACGGGAGGCAGCAGUGGGGAAUCUUGCACAAUGGGCGAAAGCCUGAUGCAGCGACGCCGCGUGCGGGAUGAAGGCCUUCGGGUUGUAAACCGCUUUCAGCAGGGACGAGGCGAAAGUGACGGUACCUGCAGAAGAAGCCCCGGCUAACUACGUG